This 94-nucleotide ribosomal RNA is filed under the name uncultured bacterium. Its description in RNAcentral is "partial 16S ribosomal RNA". It matches the Rfam family "Bacterial small subunit ribosomal RNA", at positions 1388 to 1482 of the family's 1533-position model. The record is from RNAcentral.
CACCGCCCGUCACACCAUGGGAGUUUGUUGCACCAGAAGCAGGUAGCUUAACCGCAAGGAGGGCGCUUGCCACGGUGUGGCCGAUGACUGGGUG